GGAGCUUGCUCCCGGAUGUUAGCGGCGGACGGGUGAGUAACACGUGGGUAACCUGCCUGUAAGACUGGGAUAACUCCGGGAAACCGGAGCUAAUACCGGAUAGUUCCUUGAACCGCAUGGUUCAAGGAUGAAAGACGGUUUCGGCUGUCACUUACAGAUGGACCCGCGGCGCAUUAUCUAGUUGGUGGGGUAAUGGCUCACCAAGGCGACGAUGCGUACCCGACCUGAGAGGGUGAUCGGCCACACUGGGACUGAGACACGGCCCAGACUCCUACGGGAGGCAGCAGUAGGGAAUCUUCCGCAAUGGACGAAAGUCUGACGGAGCAACGCCGCGUGAGUGAUGAAGGUUUUCGGAUCGUAAAGCUCUGUUGUUAGGGAAGAACAAGUGCGAGAGUAACUGCUCGCACCUUGACGGUACCUAACCAGAAAGCCACGGCUAACUACGUGCCAGCAGCCGCGGUAAUACGUAGGUGGCAAGCGUUGUCCGGAAUUAUUGGGCGUAAAGGGCUCGCAGGCGGUUUCUUAAGUCUGAUGUGAAAGCCCCCGGCUCAACCGGGGAGGGUCAUUGGAAACUGGGAAACUUGAGUGCAGAAGAGGAGAGUGGAAUUCCACGUGUAGCGGUGAAAUGCGUAGAGAUGUGGAGGAACACCAGUGGCGAAGGCGACUCUCUGGUCUGUAACUGACGCUGAGGAGCGAAAGCGUGGGGAGCGAACAGGAUUAGAUACCCUGGUAGUCCACGCCGUAAACGAUGAGUG
Molecule: ribosomal RNA, 755 nt
Filed under: Bacillus zhangzhouensis
Lineage: Bacteria; Bacillati; Bacillota; Bacilli; Caryophanales; Bacillaceae
Description: bacterial SSU rRNA
Rfam family: Bacterial small subunit ribosomal RNA
Source: RNAcentral